Molecule: ribosomal RNA, 497 nt
Filed under: uncultured bacterium
Lineage: Bacteria
Description: partial 16S ribosomal RNA
Rfam family: Bacterial small subunit ribosomal RNA
Source: RNAcentral
GAUGAACGCUGGCGGCGUGCCUAAUACAUGCAAGUCGAGCGAACGGACGAGAAGCUUGCUUCUCUGAUGUUAGCGGCGGACGUGUGAGUAACACGUGGAUAACCUACCUAUAAGACUGGGAUAACUUCGGGAAACCGGAGCUAAUACCGGAUUAUAUUUUGAACCGCAUGGUUCAAAAGUGAAAGACGGUCUUGCUGUCACUUAUAGAUGGAUCCGCGCUGCAUUAGCUAGUUGGUAAGGUAACGGCUUACCAAGGCAACGAUGCAUAGCCGACCUGAGAGGGUGAUCGGCCACACUGGGACUGAGACACGGUCCAGACUCCUACGGGAGGCAGCAGUAGGGAAUCUUCCGCAAUGGGCGAAAGCCUGACGGAGCAACGCCGCGUGAGUGAUGAAGGUCUUCGGAUCGUAAGACUCUGUUAUUAGGGAAGAACAUAUGUGUAAGUAACUGUGCACAUCGUGACGGUACCUAAUCAGAAAGCCACGGCUAACUACGUG